GGACUUGGAUGUUGCCGUCUCAUCGCGGCUCGUCUUGAAUGUCUCAGCGUGCCCCAUUUGUCGGUGUAUACAGCGUGAUAGGUAUCUUCGCUGGUCAGCUUCUUCGGAGGCGCACCCUCGAGUGAAAAGGUGUGCUACCAACCGUCCUCGGACAAUCUUUGACAAUUUGACCUCAGAUCGGGUGGGACUACCCGCUGAACUUAAGCAUAUCAAUAAGCGGAGGAAAAGAAACUAACAAGGAUUCCCCUAGUAACGGCGAGUGAAGAGGGAAAAGCUCAAAUUUUGAAUCUGAUACCUUUGGUGUCCGAGUUGUAAUCUAGAGAAGUGUUUUCCGUGUCGGACCGUGCACAAGUUCCCUGGAACGGGGCGUCAUAGAGGGUGAGAAUCCCGUAUAUGGCACGGACUCCCGGUGCUCUGCGAUACACUCUCAACGAGUCGAGUUGUUUGGGAAUGCAGCUCAAAAUGGGUGGUAAAUUCCAUCUAAAGCUAAAUAUUGGCGAGAGACCGAUAGCGAACAAGUACCGUGAGGGAAAGAUGAAAAGCACUUUGGAAAGAGAGUGAAACAGUACGUGAAAUUGUUGAAAGGGAAGCGUUUGAAGUCAGUCGCGUCUGUCGGGGUUCAGCCUGGCUUCUGCCUGGUGUAUUCCCCGUCCGACGGGUCAGCAUCAGUUUUGACCGAGAGAAAAAGGCUUGGGGAAUGUGGCCAUCUUCGGGUGGUGUUAUAGCCUCUUGUCGUAUGUCUCGGUCGGGACUGAGGACUGCAGCGCGCCUUAUGGCCGGGGUUCGCUCCCUCGGUACGCGCUUAGGAUGCUGGCAUAAUGGCUUUAAGCGACCCGUCUUGAAACACGGACCAAGGAGUCUAACAUGUGCGCGAGUGUUUGGGUGUCAAACCCGAGCGCGUAAUGAAAGUGAAAGGUCGGGAUCACGUACGUGUGCACCGACGCCCGGAGCAGACCUACUGUGACGCAUCUGCGGUGGAGCGUAUAUGUUGGGACCCGAAAGAUGGUGAACUAUGCCUGAAUAGGGUGAAGCCAGAGGAAACUCUGGGGAGGCUCGUAGCGAUUCUGACGUGCAAUCGAUCGUCAAAUUUGGGUAUAGGGGCGAAAGACUAAUCGAACCCUCUAGUAGGUGGUCUGCG
This 1138-nucleotide ribosomal RNA is filed under the name uncultured Thanatephorus. Its description in RNAcentral is "eukaryotic LSU rRNA". The stretch from base 168 to 1138 matches the Rfam family "Eukaryotic large subunit ribosomal RNA", at positions 1 to 960 of the family's 3401-position model. The record is from RNAcentral. Lineage: Eukaryota; Fungi; Basidiomycota; Agaricomycetes; Cantharellales; Ceratobasidiaceae.